This 68-nucleotide transfer RNA is filed under the name Trachypithecus phayrei (Phayre's leaf monkey). RNAcentral describes it as "tRNA-Lys". Lineage: Eukaryota; Metazoa; Chordata; Mammalia; Primates; Cercopithecidae. The record is from RNAcentral.
CACUGUAUAGCUACUAUAGCAUUAACCUUUUAAGUUAAAGAUGAGAAUAAUACUUUUCUCUGCAGUGA